Molecule: long non-coding RNA, 4769 nt
Filed under: Sus scrofa (pig)
Lineage: Eukaryota; Metazoa; Chordata; Mammalia; Artiodactyla; Suidae
Description: lncRNA (ENSSSCG00015073389.1)
Source: RNAcentral
AAGGGCACAGCCUCCCUCCCCUGGCCCUUCGGAAAAUCGGGCUCAUGUUUUAGGAGAGAACAUGAUUUGCUAAGGAGAGCUGGGCUCCUAGGCCAAAGGGUGACUGGCGUUGCUGGAAGUACCCCAUUAACUUUCCUCUGCAGUUCCAGAGAAGCUGUCGGACUCACCUCCUGCAGGCUCCUCUGUCCUAAAUCUAACAGGAACUCUGCCACAUCUAGACACGGAGAACUGGCACCAGCCACGGUCCAUCCCAGUGAGAAUGAAGUCCCACAGUCCCAGGAAAGGAUUACCCUGUAGCUGUGGUCACAGGUAUCCCCAGAACUGGUUUUAAAUCUGCCUCACCCUUCGGUGACAGCCUCAGGCUUUGCGAGUCAGCCAGUCAGAGGCAGCCUUCCUAGACAUCAGCCCACACUGGCCUCCAGAACCAGUACAGCUCGUUCCUCCAAACCCCGGAGAAGAUGAGUCAUUUGCUUUGCUGAGUGUGGCCGAGCCUGACCAGCCAAGCUUGCCCUAAAUUAAGCAACACACUCAGUUGUUUGGCUUUGGAUGUGGAGUGUGCCUUUUCUUUAGACAAUGGGGCGUAUUUCUUUUAUGUCUGUGUUUUAGCCAAUCAGUGCCCAGGGUUAGUACCUGGAAUGACAGAUUUGUUUUUUACUUGAAUAUUCUGAAUUGUCUUUUCUAGUCUUUCUUUGCCCAGUGAGGAUAUUUAGUCAGAAACAGGGCUAUGGUGGGGGCAUAUGUGACGCCUUCCUUACUUCCAGCUCUGAGAGAGGAUCUGCGCCCUGAGAAAUCCAGGCUCCUGCAGCCUGUGUGAUUCGUUCCAAAACAGAUCUUUCCCCAGUUGUACUCCUUUACCCGGGGAUUUAGUGUAUAAGACCGUAUUUAUUUAUUUUUGGCUAUGCCCGUGGCAUAUGGAAGUUUCCAGGGCAGGGAUUGAACUUGAACCACAGCAGUGACAGGGCCGGAUCCUUAACUUGCUAGGCCAGAGAGGACACCAUAAGACCUUAUUUUUAAAAUCAUGGUCAAGACAAAUUUCACACUUCAAAAUCCAGAGGCCAGGUAAGCAACUCUGACAGGUUGCGCAUGUGGCUCUGACAUGUUGGGGAGGUGGGUGUGGGUGGGGUGGGGAGACAGGUGCUUCUGAAGCUGGAGGGGCUGAGGAGCCUGCUGCUGCUAAUACUUGGGCACUUUCAUCACAGCUAAAUUAGCCCUGGGGUUUCUACUCAACUAGGCGAGCAGAGGGGCUCAAACGGGGACAGUCUAGCUCCGUUCCAGCCGUCAGAGGAAUCACCCCAGAUACAGCAGGUAAAUUGACCAGAGUCACAGAGCAAGUCAGUACAGUCAGGACAAGGCUCUGGGGUCUCCUGGGCGCUUCCCCUCCACAUUCUAUGCUUGGCUUCUCCACUGGCGCAGAAAGGAAAUUCGGUUUCAUUACAAGCAACUCUUGAAAUUACCUUUUAAAAGCCUUUCACAUAGAAAGUCAUUCAGGCUUUGAAAAAGUUACGUUCAUAAACUUAUAUUUUUAUUCUCUUUCUGUACAUAUUGGCAAUGAUAAAGCUUAAAGAUGCAUGUCCUAUGACAUACACAAAAACAAGGAAUUUACAUAAAUAAUUUAUACUUCAGAAAAUUAAAGUUGCAAAAUAUUUUCCGCAUCAUUAGAGUUCACAGUAUGUAAAAUAAAUCAAGCUUUCCCCCUUAGAUUUCAAACUAUAUUGUCUCAGCAGAGAAUGACAAAAUCUAAUCAGCAAUAAAAUGAUCAAGUUUCUGUUUUUUUAUUCAGUGCACAAGUAGACACUACUGUGGUAUCAGGCUGUUCCCACGCUGAGCCUGCAGCAUUUCUUCCCAGUCCUUCUCCUCCUGAGUGGCUGUGACCCAGCAGAGGUCACAUGGUGUGGAAUGGUUACAGCGUCACCCAAACCACCCACAGUGGACACAUUCAACCAACUGGUAACGUCAGAUGGUCUGAUGCCUCAUUUCCACGUAAUACUUUUUAUAGCCCUGAAAAUGGAAACCCAGGCAUCUAAACACAGCCGACCAUGUUAACACUAAUACAAGGCACUGUGCUAUGGGGUUUGGUUUAUUUAUAGGAAAGAUCAUGUUUGCAUAGAUUGCUAGCGAUUUAGUGUGCAGUAAUAUAGAGGCCCCAGUGCGCGUGGCCUUGUGAUGGAUGAAGCCGUGUGGCGCUCCUCCAGCUCAGGGGCAGCACCAGCUGUCCUCUCCAGGCCAGCCUAGUGCCCAGCCUAGUGGGCAGAUCCCCAAGGCCCCUACAGGAGAGUUUUCUGCUCAAAAAGCUGUAGGUCAAAUCGGACCCAGACCUCCCCAGUGGGGACCUCGUGCAGCAGGAGUCGGCGAGUUGUAGGGCCUUUGCUUUCCUGUUCUGUUCGAAUUUUUGCCACUGGAACUUCCGUGCGACCCAGGAAAUCUGGUGAAUAGACAUGUGAGAGUCAAGUCUUCUUUAAAAAAUUUGUCAAGAAACGAUUACAGGAGGAGUGUCUGAAACAGGAUGCAUAAAGCUUUCAAAUCCAAAACAAGUAACUGCUUUUGGUUAAUGGCUGUUGGAUGCUGUGAAUGGAUGGAUACGUGCAGAACAAGGGGUACGUGUGAGGGAAGCUGCCAAAGGGAAUCCAAGACUCUCUGUCAGGGAGCGUCUCGCCCAUUCAGUAGGCGCCAGGAGCACAGUGUUUCCCUUAGGUUAGCGGGGUGAUUGGGGUCAAAGACCUCAAACACACCUGAGGCCACCCUCCCCUUGCCCGUAAGAAGGUGCCCCACCUGCUGCCGCUGUGAUCUGCUGAGGACCACGGCCUGCGUCACUGCCAAGGCUGAGCACCCUGUUCCAGACCCCAGGUCCUAGAGUAUGGGGAUCCCCUCCCCGAGUUAUACUUUACCAUCUGGUGAAAACUGGUCUCUGUCGAACAUGGUAAGACACAGCACAUCCUGAUAAAGAUCCUUAAUAAAGAACUGGCAGUUAAAAUUCCACUUGGGAUUUAGUGUGUCCUGGAGGGUCCUGGUGGUGUAGCUCUGGGAGCCCAUGCUGAUUUCACAGUACGGAUUGCUCUUUCCUGAACAAAAACAAACCAAGAAACACGUGGCAUGUGACAACAGGCCCUUCCUUGAGCAGAAGCAGGAUCCAAAUAGAUGCUUUCUGUAGACUACGGCUACAGAGGCUACUGCCUGAGGGCCCGCCUCCGCCUUGUGGUGUCUGUCCCCAAUGCUGACAGCACCAUAAACCUGGGGAGUGACUGACGGUGCGGGCUCGAACGCCAGGGCCACUCCCCAUGAGCAUGUGUCAGUGCAGGCUGCCUCGUGCUUCCUCCACUCAGAAGAACUGAGGAAGAAGGCAUCGGUUCUUAUUGGGAAGACAGAGUGAUAAUCACACUGAACCAACAGCCCUUUUAGUGGCACUGGAAACACUUUUUAAAAACAGUCCAUUAUUCAGUGUUCAGAAGCGUCAUCAGCAAAGAGUCGGGUAGUUACCAGGUCUGCUGAAUGAAAGAAGCAUUUACCAUUUGGUUUACAGGCUUUUAGUUCUGUAGCUUCAAUGAUGUGCACCAUCAGACGCCCGAUGCCUGAAGUCUUUUGAGAGCGAGCUGUGAGAGAGGAAGACGGGGGUGUGAAUUUCUUCUCGGAGGCUACAGGCAGCACAGUGAUGACGCUAAGCUGUAGAUACAGUCUGUCUUUCUAACCAACCCCGGCAGGCCCCGGCCUCACCUGCCACUGACUGGGCCUGGCAGGCCAGCAGCCGGCUGCUCUGUGCUUUUGGGUCCAGGCUGUGUCACCUGCUAGGACACCCUGCCACCGUCUCUGACUAUCGGCCUCCUAUACUUCCACGUGCAGGUCCAAGCUCGGGUCUCACCUCCCGAUCCCUUCCCUCUCUGCGUAUCCCACAGGCCGCGGGUCUGCAAUUCUGUGUCAGUCCAUCUCCUCUGCCCGGAGGGGACACGGCAGAGCACAGAUUGCUUCUUCAACCUUAUAUUAACCCCUUAGCCCCUAGCAGAGAGUAACAGUCACAGCAUCAUAAUACAUUAUAUUCAUUCAGCACGUAAAAGACGCUAACAUUUAUUGGAUACUUACUUGGUGGUAGGCAUGCGCUUGACCUUUACACGAGUUACGUUACUUAAAAUGCACAUUUACCCUAUAAGGUGGCUCUUUGUAGCUGCCAGCCCCAAAAUGAGAAAGCCGAGUCUUAGAAAGGACUGUAACAUGCCUCCUGUCCCAGAGCUUCUGCAUGGCAGGUACUUAAAACGUCUAUUUUCUGAACCACUCGUAAAAUUCCAAUUAUAUGUAAACACUCCAGUGUAUAAAGUUUUACCUAAGACCGCUAUUAAAGAGGUUCUCAAAAACACUCUUAACACGGAGAGACAUGAGUCAGCGAACUCAGAUUAUCUUGGUAAACCCUAGAGUUAAACUUUGCCCUUAUGCUUUUAAAAACUAAUGAAAAAGCUGGUUGAUGAACUAUUGAUUUUUCAAAAUUUAGGGCAGGAAGAACCUCCUCUAUGCGAAGUGGCUCACCCUCUUGCGUGCCCCCCGACACAUGCCUACCCCCUCCCUCAGUGCAGCACCUGCAUUCAGUUCCCCUUGAAGGCAGCGCUGGGCCAUAUUCAUUCCGUAGGCCCAGUUAAGCCUAGCACAGGGCCUGGCACAGAGUAAGUAGUCAAUAAAUGUCACAGAAGUGAACACGUGGAACAGUAUGUACAGAUAUUGCUAUUAAGCAAAAUACAGAAAAACUGAUUUACGUCUUUGACCAAUUAAAGAGAUCAUUAUAUGCUUUC